GUUGUGUUUUCGGUGGUCUAAAACUACCGAUCAUGUGUAAAAUAAACGUAUAAUAAAUAUAGUUAUUGGAUUGUUAACUCUUUGUGAUUAUUUAAACAUGUCCCUAUAAGAACAGAAAGUCGCUGUGUUACCAACUCCUCCAAAUCUCCUCCCCAGCAACCAGCAGAAAUGAGAAUUUUAUUUUAUAAUGAUAGAGAAUGUUGGGGCAUUUCU
Molecule: non-coding RNA, 213 nt
Organism: Pelobates cultripes (western spadefoot toad)
Lineage: Eukaryota; Metazoa; Chordata; Amphibia; Anura; Pelobatidae
Source: the annotation of a GenBank genome assembly